AUGGCGUGGUGGCGGGAGAGGGUCGUCGCGCCGGUGCGGCGGGCCUGGCUCGCCGUUGCGCGGCGGGCGCGGAACCGCAGGAGCACAGGGGUGGUGGACCUGCACAGGGACGUGCAAACCUGCGGAUACGACGAUGUUCAGGUGAUGUGGAACAUGCUGAGCUCGGAGAAACAUGCCCUGGGCCACAGGCCGGCGGCGCCUGAGAAGCCGCCGCGGCGGCGGGCCACGUUCUGGAGGGCGUCGUUCUGGAACGUCGGAAAAUGCGUGGCGCGGUGA
Molecule: ribosomal RNA, 276 nt
Filed under: Triticum aestivum (bread wheat)
Lineage: Eukaryota; Viridiplantae; Streptophyta; Magnoliopsida; Poales; Poaceae
Description: partial small subunit ribosomal RNA
Source: RNAcentral